UUUUCUUGUUAGUUUUUGAAGUAUGGCCUGCCCACUGAUUGAAGGGCCGCGGUAUUUUGACCGUGCAAAGGUAGCAUAGUCAUUAGUUCUUUAAUUGUGAUCUGGUAUGAAUGGCUUGACGAGACAUGGGCUGUCUUUUUGAAUUUGGGGUUUAAGUUAAAAUUCUUAGAUGUUUUUAUGGGACGAGAAGACCCUAUAGAGUUUGACAUUUGGUUCUUUUGUUUGUUUUAAAUUUUUGCGUUUGUUUUGUUGGGGUGAUGGGAGGAAUUUUUUAACUCCUCUUUGUUGGUAUAUUGAUUUAUAUUUAUUUUGAUCCAUUUAUUUUGAUUGUAAGAUUAAAUUACCUUAGGGAUAACAGCGUUAUCUUCCCUGAGAGUUCUUAUUGGCGGGGGGGUUUGCGACCUCGAUGUUGGAUUAAGGUUAAUUUUUGGUGUAGGAGCUGAAUUGAUUGGGUCUGUUCGACCUUUAAAAUCUU
This 475-nucleotide ribosomal RNA is filed under the name Odontotermes mediocris. RNAcentral describes it as "partial 16S ribosomal RNA". It matches the Rfam family "Bacterial large subunit ribosomal RNA", at positions 1832 to 2597 of the family's 2925-position model. Lineage: Eukaryota; Metazoa; Arthropoda; Insecta; Blattodea; Termitidae. The record is from RNAcentral.